UACGGAAGGCAGCAGUGGGGAAUAUUGCACAAUGGGCGAAAGCCUGAUGCAGCUAUGCCGCGUGUAUGAAGAAGGCCUUAGGGUUGUAAAGUACUUUCAUCGGGGAGGAAAAAACAAAACUAAUAAUUUUAUUUCUUGACGUUACCCGAAAAAGAAGCACCGGCUAACUCCGUGCCAGCAGCCGCGGUAAUACGGAGGGUGCUAGCGUUAAUCAGAAUUACUGGGCGUAAAGAGCACGUAGGUGGUUUUUUUAAAGUCAGAUGUGAAAUCCCUGGGCUUAACCUGGAACUGCAUUUUGAAACUGAAAUACUAGAGUAUCGUAGAGGGAGGUAGAAUUCUAGGUGUAGCGGUGAAAUGCGUAGAUAUCUGGAGGAAUCCUGUGGCGAAAGCGGCCUCCUAAACGAAUACUGACACUGAGGGUGCGAAAGCGUGGGGAGCAAACGAGGAUUAGACUACC
RNAcentral lists this ribosomal RNA (457 nucleotides) under uncultured bacterium. Its description in RNAcentral is "bacterial SSU rRNA". It matches the Rfam family "Bacterial small subunit ribosomal RNA", at positions 340 to 787 of the family's 1533-position model. The record is from RNAcentral.